AUUGAACGCUGGCGGCGUGCUUAACACAUGCAAGUCGAACGUGAAAGUCCUUCGGGAUGAGUAAAGUGGCGCACGGGUGAGUAACGCGUGGAUGAUCUACCGUAAAGAUGGGGAUAACGGCUGGAAACGGUCGCUAAUACCGAAUACGCUUCAUAUAACCAUGAGGGAAAAGGGGGCCUCUGUAUAUGCUCUUGAUCGAAGAUCAGCUUGCGUACCAUUAGCUAGUUGGUAGGGUAAGAGCCUACCAAGGCGACGAUGGUUAGCUGGUCUGAGAGGAUGAUCAGCCACACUGGAACUGAGACACGGUCCAGACUCCUACGGGAGGCAGCAGUGGGGAAUUUUGCGCAAUGGGGGCAACCCUGACGCAGCAACGCCGCGUGAGUGAUGAAGGCUUUCGGGUCGUAAAGCUCUGUCUAGAGGGAAGAAGUGAUAAGUGGUUAAUACCCAUUUAUUUUGACGGUACCUCUGAAGGAAGCACCGGCUAACUCCGUGCCAGCCGCCGCCGUAA
RNAcentral lists this ribosomal RNA (508 nucleotides) under uncultured bacterium. Its description in RNAcentral is "partial 16S ribosomal RNA". It matches the Rfam family "Bacterial small subunit ribosomal RNA", at positions 30 to 523 of the family's 1533-position model. The record is from RNAcentral.